GCACACCUGGCUUGGGCUUGGAAACCCCAUGUCCUUUCCCCCAUAUCUUGCCCUGCGCAUCUCUUCAUCUGGAUCCUUUGUCAUAUUCUUUAUGAUAAACUGGUAAAAAAAAAAUAAAAAAGUGUUUCCCCGAGUUCUGUGGGCCACUUGAGCAAACUAAUGGAACUGGAGGAAGUGAUAGAAACACCAAUUUAUAGUUAGUCAGAAGCACAAGUAGAACAACCUGGGGUUUGUGAUUGGCUUCCAAAGUGUGGGAGCUGAGGUCAGUCUUGGGGGCCAAACCCUCAACCUGUGGAUCUGCCACAGAACUGAUUUCUUGCUUAUUGGCGGGGAGAAUCCCCAUACUUUUUGAGAUCACAGAAACACUGUAGUGAGUGUACAGUAAGGAAAACAGCCUGAUGUUGUUCUUCCCAGACCCCUUCUGCCUGGUUGCUGUGAGCCUCCUGGGGUUUUCUUUGUUCAGUUUGGGUAUGUGGCACCCAGUACAAGUGACUGCACUUUGGUCUGCAGGGUCUAGUAUAGGAAUUCAGUUCAAAACAAUGGGCUCCUAUAAAUUUUGUUUAACAAUAAAAACAAGACCAAGAAUCCUGCCUCCCUGGUAAUUACCGUCUGGAAACGGACGGUGAAAUAAUUAAAAUAGCAAUAGUUCUAGAACAAAUG
This 660-nucleotide long non-coding RNA is filed under the name Marmota monax (woodchuck). Lineage: Eukaryota; Metazoa; Chordata; Mammalia; Rodentia; Sciuridae. The record is from RNAcentral.